This 400-nucleotide ribosomal RNA is filed under the name uncultured bacterium. RNAcentral describes it as "partial 16S ribosomal RNA". It matches the Rfam family "Bacterial small subunit ribosomal RNA", at positions 360 to 774 of the family's 1533-position model. The record is from RNAcentral.
AAUCUUGCGCAAUGGGCGAAAGCCUGACGCAGCGACGCCGCGUGAGUGAAGAAGGCCUUCGGGUUGUAAAACUCUGUCCUCAGGGAAGAAGCAAGUGACGGUACCUGAGGAGGAAGCCCCGGCUAACUUCGUGCCAGCAGCCGCGGUAAUACGAAGGGGGCUAGCGUUGCUCGGAAUUACUGGGCGUAAAGGGCGCGUAGGCGGAUCGUUAAGUCAGGGGUGAAAUCCCGGGGCUCAACCUCGGAAUUGCCCUUGAUACUGGCGAUCUUGAGUAUGAGAGAGGUAUGUGGAACUCCGAGUGUAGAGGUGAAAUUCGUAGAUAUUCGGAAGAACACCAGUGGCGAAGGCGACAUACUGGCUCAUUACUGACGCUGAGGCGCGAAAGCGUGGGGAGCAAACA